GACGAACGCUGGCGGCGCGCCUAACACAUGCAAGUCGAGCGGAGUACCUAGAGGAAGUUCUUCGGAACGGAAUUUGGACUACUUAGCGGCGGACGGGUGGGUAACACGUGAGCAACCUACCCUGGAGUGGGGAAUAACAUUCGGAAACGGAUGCUAAUACCGCAUGAUGUGCAGAGAGAGCAUUCUCUUUGCACCAAAGAUUUAUCGCUCUGGGAUGGGCUCGCGCCUGAUUAGCUAGUUGGUAAGGUAAUGGCUUACCAAGGCGACGAUCAGUAGCCGGACUGAGAGGUUGAUCGGGCCACAUUGGGGACUGAGACACGGGCCCAGACUCCUACGGGGGAGGGCAGCAGGUGGGGGGAUAUUGCACAAUGGGGGGAAACCCUGAUGCAGCGACGCCGCGUGGGCGAAGAAGGCCUUC
Molecule: ribosomal RNA, 418 nt
Filed under: uncultured Oscillospiraceae bacterium
Lineage: Bacteria; Bacillati; Bacillota; Clostridia; Eubacteriales; Oscillospiraceae
Description: bacterial SSU rRNA
Rfam family: Bacterial small subunit ribosomal RNA
Source: RNAcentral